AGAUUUUGGUGAAGACUUUACAAU
Molecule: non-coding RNA, 24 nt
Filed under: Arabidopsis thaliana (thale cress)
Lineage: Eukaryota; Viridiplantae; Streptophyta; Magnoliopsida; Brassicales; Brassicaceae
Source: RNAcentral